Molecule: ribosomal RNA, 366 nt
Filed under: Triticum aestivum (bread wheat)
Lineage: Eukaryota; Viridiplantae; Streptophyta; Magnoliopsida; Poales; Poaceae
Description: partial small subunit ribosomal RNA
Source: RNAcentral
AUGGGGACGCUUCAAACUCAAUUAGGUGUUGCUGGUAGUAGCACCAUAGAAGAUCCAGAGGAAGAGAGAUCUCAACUUGAAAAAGAAAUACUCGAAGACGAGGAACAAGAUGAUCCAGAGCUCGAACAACCAAGUGAUCAAGUUGAAGAUUCAUCAUCUACUACUCUUGAAGAAGCAAAAGAAGUUGCUGUAGAUGAACUUGAAGAACCAGAAAUUCAUUUGCCUAUUGUCAUACAAGAGCGUGAUGUAGCAGGUUUAUCUAAUCCUCUUGAUGACAUGCGUCCCUAUGACUUAUUUGCUUCUACCUUGCAUUACAUGAUACCAUCAAUUAAGGUUUUUGCUUGUGCACGAAUCAAUACAUGCUGA